AUUGAACGCUGGCGGCAUGCUUUACACAUGCGAGUCGAACGGCAGCGCGGGCUUCGGCCUGGCGGCGAGUGGCGAACGGGUGAGUAAUACAUCGGAACGUGCCCAGUAGUGGGGGAUAGCUCGGCGAAAGCCGGAUUAAUACCGCAUACGACCUGAGGGUGAAAGCGGGGGAUCUUCGGACCUCGCGCUAUUGGAGCGGCCGAUGGCAGAUUAGCUAGUUGGUGGGGUAAAGGCCUACCAAGGCGACGAUCUGUAGCUGGUCUGAGAGGACGACCAGCCACACUGGGACUGAGACACGGCCCAGACUCCUACGGGAGGCAGCAGUGGGGAAUUUUGGACAAUGGGCGAAAGCCUGAUCCAGCAAUGCCGCGUGUGUGAUGAAGGCCUUCGGGUUGUAAAGCACCUUUGGCGGGAACGAAAAGGACUGUGCCAAUACCACGGUUCGAUGACGGUACCCGCAGAAUAAGCACCGGCUAACUACGUG
RNAcentral lists this ribosomal RNA (484 nucleotides) under uncultured bacterium. Its description in RNAcentral is "partial 16S ribosomal RNA". It matches the Rfam family "Bacterial small subunit ribosomal RNA", at positions 29 to 507 of the family's 1533-position model. The record is from RNAcentral.